GACGAACGCUGGCGGCGUGCCUAAUACAUGCAAGUAGAACGCUGAAGGAGGAGCUUGCUUCUCUGGAUGAGUUGCGAACGGGUGAGUAACGCGUAGGUAACCUGCCUGGUAGCGGGGGAUAACUAUUGGAAACGAUAGCUAAUACCGCAUAACAGUAGAUAUCGCAUGAUAGCUGCUUGAAAGGUGCAAUUGCACCACUACCAGAUGGACCUGCGUUGUAUUAGCUAGUUGGUGAGGUAACGGCUCACCAAGGCAACGAUACAUAGCCGACCUGAGAGGGUGAUCGGCCACACUGGUACUGAGACACGGCCCAGACUCCUACGGGAGGCAGCAGUAGGGAAUCUUCGGCAAUGGACGGAAGUCUGACC
RNAcentral lists this ribosomal RNA (368 nucleotides) under Streptococcus infantis. Its description in RNAcentral is "bacterial SSU rRNA". It matches the Rfam family "Bacterial small subunit ribosomal RNA", at positions 28 to 388 of the family's 1533-position model. The record is from RNAcentral. Lineage: Bacteria; Bacillati; Bacillota; Bacilli; Lactobacillales; Streptococcaceae.